UGAGUUUGAUCCUGGCUCAGAAUGAACGCUUGCGAUAGGCUUAACACAUGCAAGUUGAACGUGUAAGACACGUAGCGAACGGGUGCGUAACAUGUGGGAAUCUACCCGUACAUAAAGGUAAAUCCUUUUUAAAAGAUCUGUGAUCGCGUAUGGAUGAGCCUGCACAAGAUUAGAUAGUUGGUGUGGGAAGGGCGCACCAAGUCGAGGAUCUUUAGCUGAUCUUAGCGGAUGAUCAGCCACACUGGGACUGAGACACGGCCCAGGCUCCCAUGGGAGACAGCAGUGAGGAAUCUUGGACAAUGCACGAAAGUGUGAUCCAGCUAUAUCGCGUGGACGAUGAAGGGUAUUUUGCUUGUAAAGUCCUUUCAGCAAUAAACAUGUUUUUACAUGGAGCCAUAAUGACAGCUCUUGCAGAAGAAGCCCCGGCUAAUUUCUGUGCCAGCAGCCGCGGUAAUACAGAGGGGGCAAGUGUUAUUCGGAAUAAUUGGGCGUAAAUGGCGUGUAGGUUGUGCUUCGUAGUUGUCGGUUAAAUCCCCAUCGAUAUGGUGGGCAUGGCUGAUAGAACGGUUGCACUGGAGAAUGGGAGAGGAAACGGGAAUUUCGAGUGGAGAAGUUAAAUUCUUAGAUAUUCGAAGGAAGGCCAAAUGCGAAGGCACAUUUCUGGCUCAUUUCUGACACUGAGGCGCGAAGGCGUGGGGAGCGAAGCCGAUUAGAUACCGGCGUAGUCCACGCAGUCAACUAUGCUGUAUUCCUCUUUGGAAGGCAAAAAAAAACAACAUCUAUAUGCUUUUUAGCAUAUAGAUGUAUGACAUCAAUGCUUCAAAAAAGCAUCAACUGUUUGUUUCUGGGCCUUUGAAAACAAGUAUAUGGUCCAGGCGAGGUAGCUCAGUUGGUUAGAGCGCAGGAUUCAUAAUCCUGUUGUCGGCAGUUCAAGUCUGCCUCUCGUCAAACGUAUUUUGUGGAUGCCUUAGGCUCAUACUCACAAUGGGCGCUUUACGAUGCGAAACGUUGUAUCUUAGACAUCAUUCUGUUAGGUGCAAAUCCCCACUGUGGAAAACCACAUUUUGAAGACACGAGGAGAAUUGAAACAUCUUAGUAUCCUCUAGGAAAAGAAAUCAACCGAGAUUCCGUUAGUAUUGGCGAAAGAACGCGGAAAAGGCUAUAAAAGAAAAAAGUGUAAAACAUGGUGGAAUCCAUUGACC
RNAcentral lists this ribosomal RNA (1202 nucleotides) under uncultured Cryomorphaceae bacterium. Its description in RNAcentral is "bacterial SSU rRNA". The stretch from base 2 to 781 matches the Rfam family "Bacterial small subunit ribosomal RNA", at positions 9 to 873 of the family's 1533-position model. The record is from RNAcentral. Lineage: Bacteria; Pseudomonadati; Bacteroidota; Flavobacteriia; Flavobacteriales; Cryomorphaceae.